AAAGAUCGCAGUUUUACACUAUUUAUGUUCAAUGUUUGACUAUAUGUUUUAUUUUUUAAAAAAAAUAUGAUUAGUAUUUUUGUUGUUAUUAGAUGAUAAAACAUAAAUACUACUUUAUGUGUGACUAUUUUUUAAAAAAAAUCAUAUUUUUUUCACAUAAAACAGAUGAUCAAACAUUGGACAAGAAAACCCACAAGUGCAUUUAAA
This is a microRNA precursor of Oryza rufipogon (brownbeard rice), 207 nucleotides long. It matches the Rfam family "MIR812 microRNA precursor family". The record is from Rfam. NCBI's taxonomy places the organism in Eukaryota, Viridiplantae, Streptophyta, Magnoliopsida, Poales, Poaceae.